Nothobranchius furzeri (turquoise killifish) is the source of this 5206-nucleotide non-coding RNA. Lineage: Eukaryota; Metazoa; Chordata; Actinopteri; Cyprinodontiformes; Nothobranchiidae. The record is from RefSeq and is a predicted model, not a curated record.
GUGUUUUAAUGUGAGACUCAGACCUGCUCUCCUCCUCCCUCUCUCCCCCUCCUCUCUCCCUCUCUCAGGCAUUUGUUGGGUCGGUGGUGAAGACGCUCCUCGUCUCCGGAGCUCCGAAGCCACGGAUGAACGUCAGCAGGCGCUGAGAGCAUCCUCUACAAUCUGAGGACGGAGCUCUGAAGACAUAUAAGAGGAAGGAUAUCUUGGUACGGACUGAGAGGGAGACCGUGGCGAUGGCUGAAGCUCCUCAGGAUGAGCAGCUGCAGGAGCAGGAGGAGGAAGAGGAGCAGCUGCCCUGCUCUGUGGAGACCACUGAACCCAAUGAAGAGUCAGAGGAACCAGAUGAGGUCGUGAAGCCAGCUCGGCCUCUGCUUUCCAUGAGGUCCAUGAGCAACGUGGAUCCAGAUGACGACUACCCCAACAUGCUUGUUUACAGGAAGAUUGAGGACAUCGUCACUCGUAUUCAGGAUGAGACGGAGGGCGUGCCCAUCAGAACGGUCAAAAGUUUCAUGACCAAAAUCCACAGUGUUGUUACAGGUGCAGAUAUUGUUCAGUGGCUGAUGAAGAAUCUGUCCAUUGAGGAUCCAGCCGAGGCCAUGCACAUCGGGAGUCUGAUUGCAGCUCAGGGAUACAUCUUUCCCAUCUCGGAUCACAUCCUGUCCCUCAAAGACGACGGGACUUUAUACCGCUUUCAGGCUCCUUAUUUUUGGUCUUCCAACUGCUGGGAGCCUGAGAACACAGAUUAUGCGAUCUACCUGUGCAAGCGGACCAUGCAGAACAAGACCAGGCUGGAGCUGGCGGAUUAUGAGGCGGAGAACUUGGCGAGGCUUCAAAGAGCUUUUGCGAGGAAGUGGGAGUUUAUCUACAUGCAGGCCGAGGCCCAGGUCAAGAUCGACAGAAAAAAGGAUAAAAUAGAGAGGAAGAUCCUUGACAGUCAGGAGAGAGCCUUCUGGGACGUCCACAGACCCGUGCCUGGUUGUGUAAACACCACAGAGAUGGACAUCAGGAAAUGUAGGCGAAUGAAGAACCCUCACAGAGUUAAAAAGUCGGUGUACGGUGUGGUGGAAGAUGGAGUCCAGUCGCAGAGUCCCAUACACACCACCUCACACCACUGCAGAAAAGGAACCAAAGAAGAUGUAGAAAAGGAGAUUUUAUUUCUGAGCACGCAGCUGGAUCGUCAUUGUUUGAAGAUGUCCAAAGUGGCUGACAGCCUGAUCAUCUACACUGAGCAGUAUGUGGAGUAUGACCCGUUUUUGACAGCACCAGAACCCUCUAACCCCUGGACCAGUGAUGACCCCACCUUCUGGGACCUGGAGACCAGUAAGGAGCCCAGCCAGCAGAGGGUGAAGAAGUGGGGGUUUUCCCUGGAGGAGGCCUUAAAGGACCCAGCAGGACAAGAACUCUUCCUCAAGUUCCUGGAGUCUGAGUUCAGCUCUGAAAACCUGAGGUUCUGGCUAGCGGUGCAGGACCUGAAGAAGAUGCCCCAACAGGAAAUUGCACGCACAGUAGAGGACAUCUGGGUGGAGUUUCUGGCUGAAGGUGCACCCAGCUCCAUCAACCUGGACUCACACAGCUACGAACGCACCAGCCAGAACCUGAACGACCCUGGACGGUACAGCUAUGAGGAUGCACAGGACCACAUCUACAAGCUGAUGAAAAGUGACAGCUACCCACGCUUCCUGCGCUCCAACGUCUACCAGGACCUGCUCAUGGCGCGGAAGAAACCUGAAACGGAUCAGGGACGACGCACAUCCCUGGAGAAGUUCACCCGCAGUGUAGGAAAGUCGCUGACGGGGAAGCGGCUCACGGGCCUCAUGCAGUCAUCCUGACCAGGUCUGGAUCUUCAGUCGGAGGAAUCAAACCCAAACAAGAUACCUACAAGUUGGUAGCAGUUGCAAACGGACCUAUGAGUGUGUGAGCGUGGCUUUGGGAAGUGGGCAAGGGCACCGGACAAGUUUAGGCUGGUAUCUCAAUCCCAUACCGGGAUUAUGAGGAAGAGGACCGACGGCAUGCAAUGAGUCAGCAGACUGGGACAGUGCUGCUACUCUUCUUUGGAGGUUUCCCCUCAGAAGCCUGCUGUUCCUCUCUAACUACACUCAUGUUUAUAAGGUAGCCGAGGAGCUUUAUUUUCAGUAACCUAAACAUAAUGCUUGAAUAACGUCAAAACGAGACUUAGAUUAUUGCUGUAGCUAGGUGUUUAAUCUCACCACUAGGAGGGAAACGGGGGUUUACAGUAACGACACAAACCAUUACAUUUGUUGCUUCACUAUGUUAGCAUCUGAUCUGGAAGUAAAGGGGGGUUUACAAGCGGCACAUACGGGUUUGGAGAAAUGUGGUACCCUGAACAGUUGGGCAAACUUAGUUUAGGCCAUUUGAGAUUCCCCCUAAAAACGGGAAACUGCUUUUAUUAGGAAUCCAAUAACCGUUCCUCCUUUGAACAUCUUGUACGUUCGUUUCUGUGAGAUCCGUUAUUCCAUUAGGAAGGCGAGUGUUAUCCGAAACUUGUCAGCUUAAAAGGUAAAAACAAAUCUUUACGGCGCUGUUUAGAAAAGAACAGAGCUACAUCUGGAGAGAAGCCGGCGACUGAUGAUUAGUUCUGAUUUAAAUUCGUUACCAACUGAUUUAUGAUCCUAAAACGAUUAAAGGGAUAAUUUGGCCAUUUAGAAAUGUUUUUGUGUAAAAGUUGUAAAUGAUGUUUCUCCAAACUGAGGCCAUUCAGUUUCACCAGGAACUGAGACCUUUAUACAGAAACACCUUUAAAAAUGAUUUAAAACUUUCUCAUGCAAGUUUUAUUAAAAACUAAGUUCACAGAGAAACCGCUUUCUACUUGUUAUGUUUGGAAUAUGAUCAGUCACCCAGAGUUUAACAUGCAGGCUAAAUGUGAAAACAGUCUUCUACCCUUACUUCCUAUGUCACGCUGUAAAUCAGCAUUCAUGGACUCAUGCUGGUUUAGCAUCCAGGAAGCAGCAGAGAACGUCUUGGCUAGUAAAAGCUAACCGUUAGCAUUAGUAAUUCCACCACACAGCAGAAUUCCUCCAGACUUGAAUUAUUUGUGGAGAUAAAGCAUCAACGUCGCAGAGCAGUAUCAAUGGUAGUCAUGUUGCCGUCAGCCAAUCAGAGAUAUUUCCACAUAUCAGGAAAUAAGACUCCAAAACCUGCCGUCUUCUACUUCCUGAAACAGGAGCGCCAGAGCUCUACUUCCACCGAGAUACUCGAGGUACUGCUGCAGAUGUUAAACUCAAGUUAACUUUAUUCUUGGAUCCUCAUUUCAACCAAACCUUUGCGCCACUUAAUAAGUGACCAAAAAUCCUCGAACCAAAACAUUCCAGAUGUUCAGAGGCGAGUCUUGUUGCUGUAAACUGGAGGGAAACUAGAGGCUUUAUUCUGUCUUCUAAACAUUCCACUUAAGGCAGCCAUGUUGGAAGUUUUGUGGGCUGCUGUGUUGCCAUCUUUUCACCCUCAUGUAAAGAGGACCAUGAUAUUAAAACAGGAAUGCACAACAGAGCGGAUCUGGACUCUUAUUUCAUCCUGGCACUUUUAAUCCUUCCUGGACUCAAAUCAGCAGCAUGUCGUCUCCAGAAGGUAACUACUGCCCUCUAGUGGACUUAACACACAGGUGCAGGUAAUAUCCAAGUAAAUCUUCACCUUUCAUUGCUUCUGCCCUUCAGAAUAAUUCCAUUAUUACUAAGUUUUCCUCUGCACAAACUGCAUUACAAUAAUGUCUAAUUCCCCUUUCACUGCUUUAUCUUCUCGAGUUGCUCAGGUCUUACUUCUGCAGCCAGUGAGCAUGGGGGUGCACCUUGACUGAGACGAGACACGAGGAGAGUGGUUUUCAUGGUGAAGCCACUUUACCAAGGUAGAAAGUGGUUCAGGUAGAACCAGUGUGACGUCCAACGAAGAAAACACUACAGGAUCUCAUGUUGUAACCAUUACAAAUUUAUUGACCUGUACAAGGUGGUGUUUCAGGUACAGUACUCUAGUGGUGAUCAUGUUUCCAGUCUGGUUAGAUGUGUUUUGAUGUAACUGGGACUACAACAGGAUGGACUCACAGUUCUGUUUGGUUGUUUGUUUACUUUUUAGGCCUGAUGUAGUGUAACGUCUAAGCUCUCUGCAUCCAUUGAACAGGAGUCAUGCACAUGAGUGUCCCGUUAAAACAUCUGUAAGCUCCAGCAGUGGAAACCAGCAUCAAACCUGAAUGGAGACGAAGUCGGCAUGGUUGAUCCUCGCCAUGUACAGGACAAGACCCGACUGCUCCUUCGUCCUCAGCUCAAGCUCCAGAACCACCCUGGGACAAAAAUAAAGGUCCUUAGGGGCCACAUGGGUCAGCUGUGACCUAAACAAAGAACCUGAUGGUGGUUUGACAUGUUGGAGGACAGAAAAGCAGCAAGAACAUUUACUUCUCUCUGACUUUGGUGUCAUCAAAUGCAAAGCUCAUGUGACUGUUCCUGGUCAGUCCAAACUGGUGGGCCUGCUCCAGCACCACCGGGGCCUCAGCCGAAGCACACGAAUCCUGGAGAUUGGACAGAACGGGUCAUUUCCUCCCAUCAACGCGCCGGUUCAAGACCUGCCAGUCACGCUGAUGGGGGACCUGAGCUGCUAGGGGUCAUGUUCAGAUCAGAUUUUAUUUAUAAAGCAUUUUCAAGCAAAGUGCUUUAUAGAAUUAAAAUGACCCCAAAUGACUCCCUUAGCCUCCAGAACAGGAACAGACUGCAGCACACUGCAUCAGUGUGUUCCAAAAUCGUUGGCCUGCCUGUCAGAACUCUUGCUCAGGUUUUCUAUCAACAAGCCCUGAGACAGGCAGCCAAAAUCCUCCACAACCCCUCUCACAUUCUUCACCCUGCAUUUCAAUGGCUCCCCUCUGGGUGACGCCUACACUGCAUUUCCUUUAAGACUGAGAGGAGAAGAGCCACCUUUGUCCCCAAAGCCAUUCUGCUCUUUAACUCCAGCAGAUAACCCCCCCCCCCCCGAUUAACACUCUCCUUGGGCUCUCCAUAUAUUUAACUUUUAUAGAGAUGACACUUUAGUCACUUUAUUCACUUACUCAGUGUUUUUUUUGCAUAUUUUACUGUUUUAUCCAUCUUCUUGCUGCUUUAUUACUUCCUUAUUGCCUAUUUAUUCAAUGUUUGUAUGUCCAACAUCAUGCUGCUCUGCUGUUAUUUUUUUAAAUUGCCCCUCGGGGAUAAAUAAAGUUUUUCUGAUUCUGAAA